This 253-nucleotide ribosomal RNA is filed under the name uncultured bacterium. RNAcentral's name for it is "partial 16S ribosomal RNA". It matches the Rfam family "Bacterial small subunit ribosomal RNA", at positions 524 to 776 of the family's 1533-position model. The record is from RNAcentral.
UACGUAGGGUGCGAGCGUUAAUCGGAAUUACUGGGCGUAAAGCGUGCGCAGGCGGUUCGUUGUGUCGGUGGUGAAAGCCCCGGGCUUAACCUGGGAAUGGCCAUGGAAACUGGCGAACUGGAGUGUGGCAGAGGGGGGUGGAAUUCCGCGUGUAGCAGUGAAAUGCGUAGAUAUUGGGAAGAACACCGGUGGCGAAGGCGGCUCACUGGCUCAUUACUGACGCUCAGGCGCGAUAGCGUGGGGAUCAAACAGG